UACGUAGGGUGCGAGCGUUGUCCGGAAUUAUUGGGCGUAAAGGGCUCGUAGGCGGUUUGUCGCGUCGGGAGUGAAAACACUGGGCUUAACCGAGUGCUUGCUUCCGAUACGGGCAGACUUGAGGCAUUCAGGGGAGAACGGAAUUCCUGGUGUAGCGGUGAAAUGCGCAGAUAUCAGGAGGAACACCGGUGGCGAAGGCGGUUCUCUGGGAAUGUUCUGACGCUGAGGAGCGAAAGUGUGGGGAGCGAACAGGAUUAGAUACCCGCGUAGUCC
RNAcentral lists this ribosomal RNA (273 nucleotides) under uncultured bacterium. RNAcentral's name for it is "partial 16S ribosomal RNA". It matches the Rfam family "Bacterial small subunit ribosomal RNA", at positions 524 to 796 of the family's 1533-position model. The record is from RNAcentral.